This is a long non-coding RNA of Odontomachus brunneus, 1147 nucleotides long. RefSeq lists it as uncharacterized. The transcript is spliced from 3 exons. The record is from RefSeq and is a predicted model, not a curated record. Lineage: Eukaryota; Metazoa; Arthropoda; Insecta; Hymenoptera; Formicidae.
AAAAAUGUCGGAAAAACUAAAAUUUAUUUUUGUGCGCGAUGAAAUCAACUCGCGCUGUCGAUGCGCAGUUUUCUUUAAAGUAAAAAUGUUUUUUCAGAUGUGGAAAAUAAAUCAUCCAGCGAAAAAUAAACGAAAAUUGGACGAAUAAUUUAACGAGAGCAUUAAGAAAGAAAUGGAUCUUCUGAAGUAAGACAAUACGCGAUGUUUUCAAGUUAAUCAAAUCAAUCCUCGUAAAAAAUCGAUUUUAUACGCAAAUUUUUAAAACUCUUCGCCGAGUGUCCCGACGAAGAAAAAGGAAGAAAUUCCUGCGAGUUUCAUGCGCGCGUCGGCAAAAGAGAGUUUCUUACAAACUUCUUUAUAUUUACUCACGAUUCACUCACCGUAACGUUCUGCAUAAACUUGCGAAUUAUGGGUUUACCAAGACAAUCCAUUCAUAUCUAAUAAAGUUCACGUUCAACUAAUAAUGAACAAAAACGUUUUGCACAUCGCUGCAACCGUAUGGGCAGACAUCUACGUCGUAUAACAUUUCGCGUGCUGUACGAUGCUGGCGUCGUCACAGUCCGAAUCGGAAAGACAAAAGAUCCGUAACAAGAUGAACGACGACCCGAUUCUAGCGAAGAUCUUGCGGCAGUUAGACACGAGCAAGGGCGAAGAUGACGCCGAUGAAAUCAUGGAAGCGAGAUCGCAGCGUAAGAGGCGAGAAAAGAACGAGGAUACGGGCGAGCCCAGCGGUUAGGUUCAAGGCACAAGGAACUUGAUUAACUUAGAACAUCUGAUAUUUGCGCAGGGUAGUCACUUCAUGGCGAACAAACGUUGCCAGCUUCCCGACGGUAGCUUCCGCAAGCAGCGAAAGGGGUACGAAGAGGUUCACGAAAGAUUGGAAUCAAUUUGAAGGAAAAUCAUAUUACAUGUUCGUUGACUCGGACACUAUGUGCACCAACGAUAACUUUAGCUGUCAAGACUAGCGAUAGCAACAGCAAUAACAAUGGUUACGAAACGGCUUCGGUAAACAUCAAUUAACAAUUAACAAUAACAUUACAUCAAUGCUACAUCGCUAUCUUGGGAGAAAUCGUGAAAUGGUCCUUUUAGAACAUAAAUUUUCCUUGAGAAUUCCAUUAAAAUCGGAAUAAUAUUAUAAUUAAAAAAU